GCCCACGGACCGGGCUAGCUCACCGCGAGCCAGCCGCCCUCUGGCCAAGAGAAAGAAAUCAGAAGACAACAAGCUGUUCUUCUGAAGCAUCAAUUUCAUCUUUGCUGAAAUGGUAACUUGCCUCUGUGAAGAGUUGAGAAAAGGAAAAAUGGAGGCAAACACUUGUGACUUGAAAGAACUACCACCUUUUACUUAUUCUAAGGAACCGAUAGAGAACCCGGACCUCUACCUGGACGUGACUUUUUCCCGAUAUUAUUUCUGUUCCCCUGUCCUAUGUGUUCAUAACAUCCCAUUGUAUUUGUUAAGAAAAUUUCUGCCAUAUUGCAGGGGACUUUUGACAGUUUUUGUAAGUAGAAAUUUUCCUAUGUAAUGUAAACUCUGUACUAUAAGUAAAUGUAUUCUUUCAUCUUUUUUAUGAAUUAAUUUGCAUUGUCUUUACUUGAAAGAGAAUGAAAGCUAAAUUUUUACUAAAGAUAGGUAACUCUGAAGUAUGGAUGUUGAUUUGAAACAUU
Molecule: long non-coding RNA, 512 nt
Organism: Manis pentadactyla (Chinese pangolin)
Lineage: Eukaryota; Metazoa; Chordata; Mammalia; Pholidota; Manidae
Exons: 3
Source: RefSeq, a predicted model, not a curated record